This 465-nucleotide ribosomal RNA is filed under the name uncultured bacterium. RNAcentral's name for it is "bacterial SSU rRNA". It matches the Rfam family "Bacterial small subunit ribosomal RNA", at positions 32 to 474 of the family's 1533-position model. The record is from RNAcentral.
AAUCAACGCUGGCGGCGUGCCUCAGACAUGCAAGUCGAACGCGAAACCUUCCUUCGGGAGGGGAGUAGAGUGGCGCACGGGUGAGUAACACGUAGGUAAUCUACCUUUGGGUGGGGAAUAACAGCCGGAAACGGCUGCUAAUACCGCAUAAUGCAGCGGCUCGACAUCGAGACAGUUGUUAAAGCGGGGGAUCGUAAGACCUCGCGCCUAAAGAGGAGCCUGCGGCAGAUAGCUAGUUGGUAAGGUAACGGCUUACCAAGGCGACGAUCUGUAGCCGGCCUGAGAGGGCGGUCGGCCACACUGACACUGACAUACGGGUCAGACUCCUACGGGAGGCAGCAGUCGGGAAUUUUGGGCAAUGGGCGAAAGCCUGACCCAGCAACGCCGCGUGAAGGAUGAAAUCCCUCGGGAUGUAAACUUCGCAAGAACGGGAAGAAUAAGUAGAAGCGAAUACCUUCUAUGAUG